GACGAACGCUGGCGGCGUGCUUAACACAUGCAAGUCGAACGGAAAGGCCCUGCUUUUGUGGGGUGCUCGAGUGGCGAACGGGUGAGUAACACGUGAGUAACCUGCCCUUGACUUUGGGAUAACUUCAGGAAACUGGGGCUAAUACCGGAUAGGAGCUCCUGCUGCAUGGUGGGGGUUGGAAAGUUUCGGCGGUAGGGGAUGGACUCGCGGCUUAUCAACUUGUUGGUGGGGUAGUGGCUUACCAAGGCUUUGACGGGUAGCCGGCCUGAGAGGGUGACCGGCCACAUUGGGACUGAGAUACGGCCCAGACUCCUACGGGAGGCAGCAGUGGGGAAUAUUGCACAAUGGGCGGAAGCCUGAUGCAGCAACGCCGCGUGCGGGAUGACGGCCUUCGGGUUGUAAACCGCUUUCGCCUGUGACGAAGCGUGAGUGACGGUAAUGGGUAAAGAAGCACCGGCUAACUACGUG
RNAcentral lists this ribosomal RNA (468 nucleotides) under uncultured bacterium. RNAcentral's name for it is "partial 16S ribosomal RNA". It matches the Rfam family "Bacterial small subunit ribosomal RNA", at positions 28 to 507 of the family's 1533-position model. The record is from RNAcentral.